This 410-nucleotide ribosomal RNA is filed under the name Enterococcus faecium. RNAcentral describes it as "bacterial SSU rRNA". It matches the Rfam family "Bacterial small subunit ribosomal RNA", at positions 383 to 786 of the family's 1533-position model. The record is from RNAcentral. Lineage: Bacteria; Bacillati; Bacillota; Bacilli; Lactobacillales; Enterococcaceae.
CUGACCGAGCACGCCGCGUGAGUGAAGAAGGUUUUCGGAUCGUAAAACUCUGUUGUUAGAGAAGAACAAGGAUGAGAGUAACUGUUCAUCCCUUGACGGUAUCUAACCAGAAAGCCACGGCUAACUACGUGCCAGCAGCCGCGGUAAUACGUAGGUGGCAAGCGUUGUCCGGAUUUAUUGGGCGUAAAGCGAGCGCAGGCGGUUUCUUAAGUCUGAUGUGAAAGCCCCCGGCUCAACCGGGGAGGGUCAUUGGAAACUGGGAGACUUGAGUGCAGAAGAGGAGAGUGGAAUUCCAUGUGUAGCGGUGAAAUGCGUAGAUAUAUGGAGGAACACCAGUGGCGAAGGCGGCUCUCUGGUCUGUAACUGACGCUGAGGCUCGAAAGCGUGGGGAGCAAACAGGAUUAGAUACC